AGACCCGAAACCCGGUGAUCUAGCCAUGGGCAGGUUGAAGGUUGGGUAACACUAACUGGAGGACCGAACCGACUAAUGUUGAAAAAUUAGCGGAUGACCUGUGGCUGGGGGUGAAAGGCCAAUCAAACCGGGAGAUAGCUGGUUCUCCCCGAAAGCUAUUUAGGUAGCGCCUCGUGAAUUCAUCUCCGGGGGUAGAGCACUGUUUCGGCUAGGGGGCCAUCCCGGCUUACCAACCCGAUGCAAACUGCGAAUACCGGAGAAUGUUAUCACGGGAGACACACGGCGGGUGCUAACGUCCGUCGUGAAGAGGGAAACAACCCAGACCGCCAGCUAAGGUCCCAAAGUCAUGGUUAAGUGGGAAACGAUGUGGGAAGGCCCAGACAGCCAGGAUGUUGGCUUAGAAGCAGCCAUCAUUUAAAGAAAGCGUAAUAGCUCACUGGUCGAGUCGGCCUGCGCGGAAGAUGUAACGGGGCUAAACCAUGCACCGAAGCUGCGGCAGCGACACUCAGGUGUU
This 514-nucleotide ribosomal RNA is filed under the name Salmonella enterica. RNAcentral's name for it is "partial 23S ribosomal RNA". It matches the Rfam family "Bacterial large subunit ribosomal RNA", at positions 711 to 1222 of the family's 2925-position model. The record is from RNAcentral. Lineage: Bacteria; Pseudomonadati; Pseudomonadota; Gammaproteobacteria; Enterobacterales; Enterobacteriaceae. RNAcentral also lists the same sequence under 4 other names.